This 1385-nucleotide long non-coding RNA is filed under the name Spirodela polyrhiza (greater duckweed). RNAcentral describes it as "long non-coding RNA (SPOL_LNC002537)". Lineage: Eukaryota; Viridiplantae; Streptophyta; Magnoliopsida; Alismatales; Araceae. The record is from RNAcentral.
CUGACAAGCUCUCGAAGAUGAUGAAGAUCGCGGAGAUCAAGAACGACGUGAUGGGGCAGUUCCACAAUGCGCUCUAUCUGGGUGAUGUGCAAGAGCGGGUGAAGAUCCUGGAGACUGCCGGCCAGCUGCCUCUGGCCUACAUCACUGCCUCCCUCCACGGGCUCACAGAGGUUGCCGAACGGCUUGCAGCAGAGCUGGGGGCCGACGCCCCCGCCCUCCCUGAGGGGAAGGACCCCCGCCUCCUGAUCCCUCCUCCUGCCCUCACCUGCAGCGGGGAUUGGCCGCUCCUGCGCGUCAUGAAGGGCAUCUUCGAGGGUGGCCUGGAGGGUGCCGGGAGGUCCGUCGGGCAGGACGAAGAUGAGGAGGCUGCUGCCGCCGACUGGGGUGACGAGGACCUGGACAUCGUUGACGUCGACCGUGUGGCGCAGAACGGAGGCGAUGGCGAGGAGCAGGGCGAGGCGAAUGCAGAGGAGGAGGAGGAGGAAGGAGGAUGGGACAUGGAGGAUCUGGAGCUCCCGGCCGAUGUGGAGACCCCAAAGGCGACGGCAGCCGUCUCCCGCAGCGCUCUCUUUGUUGCGCCGGCUCCGGGGAUGCCCGUCAGCCAGAUCUGGACCCAGAAGUCGCCCCUGGCGGGAGAGCACGCGGCAGCCGGGGACUUUGCGACGGCCAUGCGGCUGCUCAACCGGCAGCUGGGGAUCAAGAACUUUGCGCCGCUGAAGCCGCUAUUCCUGGACCUGCACGCGGGCAGCCACUCCUACCUGCGGGCGCUGGCGCUGGCCCCCGUCGUGCCGCUGGCGGUGGAGCGGGGGUGGAGCGAGGGUGCGAGCCCCAACGUGCGCGGCCCGCCGGCGCUGGUGCUCCGGUUUCCCCAGCUGGAGGAGAAGCUGAAGCUUGCCUACAAGGCCACCACGGAGGGCAAGUUCGCGGAGGCCCUGCGGCUGUUCCUGGCGAUCCUGCACGCCGCGCCCCUCAUCGUGGUGGAGCAGCGGAGGGAGGUGGACGAGGUGAAGGAGCUGAUCGACAUCGUCCGGGAGUACGUGCUCGGCCUGAAGCUGGAGGUGAGGAGGAAGGAGACCAAGGACGACCCCGUCCGCCAGCAGGAGCUCGCCGCAUACUUCACCAACUGCAAGCUCCAGAAGGGGCACCUGCGGCUCGCCCUCAUGAGCGCCAUGACCGUCUGCUUCAAGGGUGGCAACUUCGCCACCGCCGCCCACUUCGCCCGGAUGCUCCUCGACACCAACCCCGCCGCCGAGGCGCAGGCCAAGCGCGCCCGCCAGGUCCUCCAGGCCUGCGCCGACAAGCAGGACGCCGCCCAGCUCAACUACGACUUCCGGAACCCCUUCGUCGUCUGCGGCGCCACAUUCGCCCCCAUCUACCGCGGCCAG